GUGCUGUGAUGUUUUUGCCAACACAUCAUUCUGAUGUAUGUGAAGACAAACUUAUCAGUUACUGAGCACA
This is a small nucleolar RNA of Protopterus annectens (West African lungfish), 70 nucleotides long. RefSeq annotates it as small nucleolar RNA SNORD63. Lineage: Eukaryota; Metazoa; Chordata; Ceratodontiformes; Protopteridae. The record is from RefSeq and is a predicted model, not a curated record. The transcript has a single exon.